GCUGCACGUGUCGCAGCCGGCGGUGAGCCGGGUGCUGGCGCUGACCGAAGACCGGUUGGGCUACCGCCUGUUCGAGCGCGUGCGCAGCC
This 89-nucleotide transfer RNA is filed under the name Achromobacter pulmonis. Its description in RNAcentral is "tRNA-Ala". The record is from RNAcentral. Lineage: Bacteria; Pseudomonadati; Pseudomonadota; Betaproteobacteria; Burkholderiales; Alcaligenaceae.